CUGGAGGUAUCAGAAGUGCGAAUGCUGACAUAAGUAACGAUAAAGCGGGUGAAAAGCCCGCUCGCCGGAAGACCAAGGGUUCCUGUCCAACGUUAAUCGGGGCAGGGUGAGUCGACCCCUAAGGCGAGGCCGAAAGGCGUAGUCGAUGGGAAACGGGUUAAUAUUCCCGUACUUGGUGUUACUGCGAAGGGGGGACGGAGAAGGCUAUGUUGGCCGGGCGACGGUUGUCCCGGUUUAAGCGUGUAGGUGUGUGUUCCAGGUAAAUCCGGUUCACUUUAACACUGAGGCGUGAUGACGAGGCACUACGGUGCUGAAGCAACAAAUGCCCUGCUUCCAGGAAAAGCCUCUAAGCAUCAGGUAACAUCAAAUCGUACCCCAAACCGACACAGGUGGUCAGGUAGAGAAUACCAAGGCGCUUGAGAGAACUCGGGUGAAGGAACUAGGCAAAAUGGUGCCGUAACUUCGGGAGAAGGCACGCUGACACGUAGGUGAAGUGAUUUACUCAUGGAGCUGAAGUCAGUCGAAGAUACCAGCUGGCUGCAACUGUUUAUUAAAAACACAGCACUGUGCAAACACGAAAGUGGACGUAUACGGUGUGACGCCUGCCCGGUGCCGGAAGGUUAAUUGAUGGGGUCAGCGCAAGCGAAGCUCCUGAUCGAAGCCCCGGUAAACGGCGGCCGUAACUAUAACGGUCCUAAGGUAGCGAAAUUCCUUGUCGGGUAAGUUCCGACCUGCACGAAUGGCGUAAUGAUGGCCAGGCUGUCUCCACCCGAGACUCAGUGAAAUUGAACUCGCUGUGAAGAUGCAGUGUACCCGCGGCAAGACGGAAAGACCCCGUGAACCUUUACUAUAGCUUGACACUGAACAUUGAGCCUUGAUGUGUAGGAUAGGUGGGAGGCUUUGAAGUGUGGACGCCAGUCUGCAUGGAGCCGGCCUUGAAAUACCACCCUUUAAUGUUUGAUGUUCUAACGUGGACCCGUGAUCCGGGUUGCGGACAGUGUCUGGUGGGUAGUUUGACUGGGGCGGUCUCCUCCUAAAGAGUAACGGAGGAGCACGAAGGUUGGCUAAUCCUGGUCGGACAUCAGGAGGUUAGUGCAAUGGCAUAAGCCAGCUUGACUGCGAGCGUGACGGCGCGAGCAGGUGCGAAAGCAGGUCAUAGUGAUCCGGUGGUUCUGAAUGGAAGGGCCAUCGCUCAACGGAUAAAAGGUACUCCGGGGAUAACAGGCUGAUACCGCCCAAGAGUUCAUAUCGACGGCGGUGUUUGGCACCUCGAUGUCGGCUCAUCACAUCCUGGGGCUGAAGUAGGUCCCAAGGGUAUGGCUGUUCGCCAUUUAAAGUGGUACGCGAGCUGGGUUUAGAACGUCGUGAGACAGUUCGGUCCCUAUCUGCCGUGGGCGCUGGAGAACUGAGGGGGGCUGCUCCUAGUACGAGAGGACCGGAGUGGACGCAUCACUGGUGUUCGGGUUGUCAUGCCAAUGGCACUGCCCGGUAGCUAAAUGCGGAAGAGAUAAGUGCUGAAAGCAUCUAAGCACGAAACUUGCCCCGAGAUGAGUUCUCCCUGAGACUUAGAGUCUCCUGAAGGAACGUUG
Molecule: ribosomal RNA, 1589 nt
Filed under: Salmonella enterica subsp. enterica serovar Schwarzengrund
Lineage: Bacteria; Pseudomonadati; Pseudomonadota; Gammaproteobacteria; Enterobacterales; Enterobacteriaceae
Description: partial 23S ribosomal RNA
Rfam family: Bacterial large subunit ribosomal RNA
Source: RNAcentral